AAGUUCCUUCGGGGACGGAUUAGCGGCGGACGGGUGAGUAACACGUGGGUAACCUGCCUCAUAGAGGGGAAUAGCCUUUCGAAAGGAAGAUUAAUACCGCAUAAGAUUGUAGCUUCGCAUGAAGUAGCAAUUAAAGGAGUAAUCCGCUAUGAGAUGGACCCGCGUCGCAUUAGCUAGUUGGUGAGGUAACGGCUCACCAAGGCGACGAUGCGUAGCCGACCUGAGAGGGUGAUCGGCCACAUUGGGACUGAGACACGGCCCAGACUCCUACGGGAGGCAGCAGUGGGGAAUAUUGCACAAUGGGGGAAACCCUGAUGCAGCAACGCCGCGUGAGUGAUGAAGGCCUUCGGG
RNAcentral lists this ribosomal RNA (351 nucleotides) under uncultured bacterium. Its description in RNAcentral is "bacterial SSU rRNA". It matches the Rfam family "Bacterial small subunit ribosomal RNA", at positions 72 to 422 of the family's 1533-position model. The record is from RNAcentral.